CUGGGUACCUGCCCAGGGGCUUGGCUCCAUGUUGCCUAGACCCUAGGAGCCACUUGUCAUCUGGGUUGGACCGAGAGGGGUCAGCCCUGCCAGGAACUUGUCCAAUGGCUUCUGACAGCCAACUCACAUCAGCGCAUACAUGGAGGGUGCCAGGGAAACUGAGGGGUUUUCACUGUUGGAUUCUGGGGUCCUAGCGCCAGCAUUUCUCAGUGUGCCCUUAUCCCCUCAACUCCUCUACAGCUCCUAAGAGAUAGUCGUCCAAACGAUGCUGGGUGGUUAAGAGGAGUAAACGAAUGGAUGAAUGAAUGGAAAAAAGUUACUAAGAGGCAGCUAUAGAAUUGAAAGCAGCCUAGAAAGUUUGACCUAGGUGUUGCUAUUUAACAAAGGGAACCGAGUUUCCACGGGAAUAAUUGGCUUUCCUAUGGUCACAGAGUUAGGGGGAAGAAAGUUGGGAUCCCAGCUCCAAGGCUGGUCCAACUGCUUGGCACAGGCCUCUGCUGCCUCAGCAACUUGGACGUUCCCUGAGGCGAUGCUCGGCCCAGUGUGUAGAGGCAGGUGAAGAAUCUGCCAUUCCCUAGGGGAAAGCGUAAAAGGAAACUUCGUGAGUCUGGGCGGCUGCCAGUCACUGCCCCUCCUUCACAACCUCCAGCUCUGCUCUAAGAAUUGCCAAGAACACGUCACCUCUGAGCAGGUUCUCAGCGCAUAUUUGGAGGAUGAAUCUGUCGCCUGGGAUCAGUGCAAAUUCCUCAGCCAAAAGUCACAGGCUGCGAAAUUUCAAUAAAGCAGGUAAAAUUGAUGUCAUAACUCCUAACUCUGCAAUAGAUUGGAAUGUGCACCAUGGCUUCCGAAUAGGCGUUCUGCCACUCUGUACAAGCACAGGAUAUUCAUCACUCGCCAUCACAGAACAACGGUAUGUGUGCUUGAAAGAGCCACUCGCUAUGCCAAGCAUGGCGCCAACGUAAGCCGUCUCGUUUAAACUUCGUCGGAACAGGAUGGGUUCUAGAAACUCUACUCUCCUGCUCUGGCUCUGAGAUAACUCCCCAGUGUGAGCUGGGGAGUCUGCUGCCCAGAGGUUACCUCUCAGGGUACUUCUGCGAUAAGUCAACCUGCGUGUGCCAUCAAUUAACACCUCAAGUCCGGUCAGGCCGAUGCAGGCUUGUUGUCUAAGCAAAUAGGUCUGGCAUUCUCAGACCAAAGAAAACAAGAGACAUAGCCUAGCCCUCAAGACACCUAAAACCACAAUCACAAUAAUACCGAAAUUAGAGGAACAGUUAAGUGUCAAAUUGUGAGAGUCUUCCUUGAUGCACUGGGAUUUUCAAAAUGACAGGUAAGCCAAAACAAGUUUGCCAAAAAACCAAACAAGACUGGAAGGGUUGAACAACACAAGUGAAUUGUCUCAGAGCUCUGGAGGCGGGGAGGCUGAGGUCAAGAUGGUACCAGGGCUGGUUCCCCCUGAGGCUCUGAGGGAAACUGUUUGACACUCCUAUCUUGCUUCUGCUGGUUGGCCAACAUUUGUUUGUGUUAGUUCCUACUGUUGACACAUAUUAAUGAGAUGCAUUAUGUCACUCUGUCUUUGUACUCGGAGUGUGUGCCCUGGUAUCUUUCUUCUUCAUAGAGAUGCCAGGCACAGUGGAUUAGCAUUACCAGCCACAUCUGUUUCCAAGCAAGGCUGAAUCCUGAGGUGCUGAGGACUAGGAGUUCAGUCCAUGAGUCGAUUUAAUGCAUAACCAGUGGAGUUCUGCCUCCAGAAGCCUGUCCCACAAUUUGGAUCACACACAUGGUCUUCAUGCCUGCCCACAGAUCCCCAAGGAGCCUUCCUGAAAAUUACUUGCAAUUGUCCUACCCAGUCCUUGGAGGAGGUACCGGUCCCACAUUAUUUUACUUGCAGCUCAGGUGUGACUGCCCCACCCUGGGUGAGAGGGUAACUGUGAACAACAGUCAGCUGGGAGAGCAUGAAGGAGUGAGCUAAGAAGAGACUUAAGGUUAAAAAUAGCCCCAACAGCAGCGGUAUGUGGAGUAUAUCUGGAUGACCUUUGGCCUUUUAUGACUUUGAUUUUCAAACAGCACAGUCAUGAGGUCUUGAUGACACAGCUCUCCACUUGGCACCCUGGAAAUUUCCAACCCUGGGGAAGUGUGAGCAAACAUGGUGGCUUACUUUUCUUUCUCCUUGCCUGAACGACCUUCAGAAGCUUCCAGAAGCCUGGAGAGAGUCCCGUGAAGAUUUUGAUGUAGCCCUGUCUGUCCCUGUCCUGUGUUUCAAAGCAGCUGGGUGAUUCAGGAAAGCCACACAAUGUAUGUGAGUCUCCAUUUUCUCAUCUGCAAGUUGCUGAGAGUGGGUGAUUUUAUUUCCUCUAGGAGAAUUGUGCCCCUCCCCAAACUCCAGCUCCAGGCACAGCAUAGGGAUUGAUCUGCUCUUAAAUUGGCCCGGAUGGCCAGGCGACCCACUUCUGGAGCUUAAGACCAAAGGCACUGGCUCUAUGCGCAUCCCCCUUCAGUUCAGGGUGGAAGCCUGGAGCUGGGAGCCAUGUUGGUUACCACCACAGCAAAUCUAGGAAGAGAGAAAGUGCACUUAUGCCGGGCAUGCUGCAGACAGAGACAAUUCCUCCCGUUUACAUCUUCUGAGCGCCCAGCUUUCUCCUCCCCUUCACAGACUGAUCGUCAGCUUCCCAAUCCUCGUAAGGCCUGAACGAAGCAGGUGGGAGGUAGGCCCAACCAGGCAGGGAACUUCUAUUCAGAGGUGCCAUGCCCCUCUGAAUGAGGCGGGUAGGAGUGAGGGAUGACUGGCAAGGCACUUGAUGGCUAAAAUCAAAGCCCUGCCAAUUAGCGGGAAUUCAAAACAUCACCAGGGUCACUUGCGGAGUGCAGAGAUUACAGGUACACACCGCCAUGCCCAAUUUACUUAGUGGUCGGGCUGAAAUCCAGGACUUCCUGCGUGCUAGGCAAGCAUUCCUCUGACUGGGCUGUAUCACCAGCCCCACUCAAGAGGAGUGUUGGCAUAAGUGUGGCAAACUGAUGGUGGUGCUUUAUGUUAGCCAUGGAGGAAUCAUGUGUGUGUCAAGGCAGCAUAAGUGGGAGGAGUAAGUGCUCCCAGUAAUGUGAGUGAGGGUAGGGUGUCAAGUGUGUGCCCAAUAAGCAGAUGGGCAAACUGAGCCCUUCCAGCAUCAGGCACUGUCUCACUAUCUACCUCAAGGGCAGGAUUUCCUGACCCAGAACUCAGAUUGUCCUUUGGUUAAUUCCCCAUUCAUCAUGGGUAAUAUCCCCACCUGGGGGAGUCUGUUUUCCCCUGUAAGCGCCUUUCCCCAAGUCAACCACCUUCUCAGAGCUGAAAGAGCUGCCAGCUGCCUGGCAGCACAAAGCCCUUGGGUUGCACUUGUAAUUUUUUUUUAAAGAGAUAAAAUCGCUGGUGACGUUUCCGCCCUCCACUGCCAGACAGCAGCUUUCAGCACAGUUGUGUCCCUACACCGAGGUCAUCACCUGAGAGUCUCAAAGCACUCCUCAGCUCCCUUGUUAUAAACCUGGGGAAGAUGAGGCAGAGCUGUAUGUCUUCGUAGCCUCGGGAAGUGGAAGAGUUAAACACUCAACCAGGAAGCCACCGCCAUGACAAGGCAGGCAAAGACAUGUUUGGCCAACUGCACCUGACUUCUAGGUCUGCUCAUCUUCUUGGGACCAGCAAGGAUAGAAUGAAAACUCCACCGACCAUGACGACAUAAGUGUGUGACAGCUUGUCUCACACCUUCCACCGUUUCAUCCCUACCAAGCCCCAUCCCUGAAGGGACAGACUCCUGCCAAGAAAGGGAGAAGGAGUCUCAGCUGGGAGGGAUGGUCAACACCGGGACAAGAAGUGCUCCUGUGACUUACCGGGUUCCAGUCCGCGCUUCUUAGCACACAGAGUCCUGCUUUGCAAACAAGCUACCUGUCCAUCACCAUUGCUGUGUUUCUGGACAAAGUGAUGCCAAAUGCCUUUCUCUGCUCAAGUUCCACUGAGGGAAACUGAGAAAAUAAAUUUCCUCUCAGUGUCCUGUAGGUGGACUCCAGCUAGCUUUCCAGCAGCUCAUAAAACAAAAGCAACAGAAAAAUUAACCAAAAAAUUAAUAGCAACAUUUAUUAUUUGCUUUUGUGCCAGGUACUGUUAAGCAGAUCUUAGUCGCAUCUUAAGGAUGCUACCAUCUACGCUGUUUAGAAAGAGAAGGCAGGAAACUCUACCAAGUUCACAGACACCUGGAAACCCUGUGGUGAGGUUGGCACCUCAGCAGCUCACUGCCUGGCAUAGACUGCCCACCUCUUGGGGAAAAUCCAUUGGUAAGAUUCAGGGAGUCCUUCCUUCAGAUGCUGGACCACAGUGUGGGUAUGGUUAGGAGACCUGAUCUGCAGAGCACGUGGUGAGCUCUCUGAGACAGCACAUCUGGGAUGCUGGAGAAGCCAGCUUCGCUGGGGACAGUCAUGAAAGAGACAGCAAGUCCUGCAGAGUCAGGAUAGAAGCCAAAGAAAAGACGAUGGCCUGUCUCACAGCAAGAAUCAGGACCCUCGACUA
Molecule: non-coding RNA, 4531 nt
Organism: Cricetulus griseus (Chinese hamster)
Lineage: Eukaryota; Metazoa; Chordata; Mammalia; Rodentia; Cricetidae
Source: RefSeq, a predicted model, not a curated record